This 253-nucleotide ribosomal RNA is filed under the name uncultured bacterium. RNAcentral's name for it is "partial 16S ribosomal RNA". It matches the Rfam family "Bacterial small subunit ribosomal RNA", at positions 524 to 776 of the family's 1533-position model. The record is from RNAcentral.
UACGUAGGAUGCAAGCGUGGUCCGGAAUUAUUGGGCGUAAAGAGCGCGCAGGCGGUAUGACAAGUCAGAUGUGAAAGAGGCCGGCUUAACCGGCAAGGGUCAUUUGAAACUGUCAGACUAGAGUGCAGCAGAGGAUAGUGGAAUUCCCGGUGUAGUGGUGAAAUGCGUAGAUAUCGGGAGGAACACCAGUGGCGAAGGCGACUAUCUGGGCUGCAACUGACGCUGAGGCGCGAAGGCUAGGGUAGCAGACAGG